GCAAUACACGAAAGUGUGACAAGGCUAUCCCGAGUGCCAUCCGCUGAGGAAGGCUUUUACCCAGUAUAAAUAGCUGGGAGAAUAAGGAGAGGGCAAGUCUGGUGUCAGCCGCCGCGGUAAUACCAGCUCUCCGAGUAGUGUGGAUGUUUAUUGGGCCUAAAGCAUCCGUAGCUUGCUAAGCAAGUCCUUUGUUAAAUCCACCGAUUCAAUCGGUGGAUUGCGGGGGAUACUGUUUGGCUAGGGGACGGGAGAGGCCGACGGUAUUUCCGGGGUAGGGGUGAAAUCCUAUAAUCCCGGGGGGACCACCAGUGGCGAAGGCUGUCGGCUAGAACGCGCCCGACGGUGAGGGAUGAAAGCUGGGGGAGCGAACCGGAUUAGAUACCCGGGUAGUCCCAGCUGUAAACGAUGCAGGCUAGGUGUUUGGGCGGCCACGAGCCACCCCAGUGCCGCAGGGAAGCCGUUAAGCAUGCCGCCUGGGAAGUACGAUCGCAAGGUUGAAACUUAA
RNAcentral lists this ribosomal RNA (505 nucleotides) under uncultured archaeon. Its description in RNAcentral is "bacterial SSU rRNA". It matches the Rfam family "Archaeal small subunit ribosomal RNA", at positions 352 to 859 of the family's 1478-position model. The record is from RNAcentral.